UACAGAGGUCUCAAGCGUUGUUCGGAUUCAUUGGGCGUAAAGGGUGCGUAGGUGGCGCGGUAAGUCGGGUGUGAAAUUUCGGAGCUUAACUCCGAAACUGCAUUCGAUACUGCCGCGCUUGAGGACUGGAGAGGAGACUGGAAUUUACGGUGUAGCAGUGAAAUGCGUAGAGAUCGUAAGGAAGACCAGUGGCGAAGGCGGGUCUCUGGACAGUUCCUGACACUGAGGCACGAAGGCCAGGGGAGCAAACGGG
This 253-nucleotide ribosomal RNA is filed under the name uncultured bacterium. RNAcentral describes it as "partial 16S ribosomal RNA". It matches the Rfam family "Bacterial small subunit ribosomal RNA", at positions 524 to 776 of the family's 1533-position model. The record is from RNAcentral.